Molecule: long non-coding RNA, 388 nt
Filed under: Homo sapiens (human)
Lineage: Eukaryota; Metazoa; Chordata; Mammalia; Primates; Hominidae
Description: HSALNT0323155
Source: RNAcentral
GUAAACUAGACCUUCGAUUUCCCCUGUAAGGGUAUUAAGGCUGAAUUUGUCUACACAUCAAACAUGUACCUAGGAGGAAUAUUUGCUCUGUGCCAUCAGCAGUGUAGAAACUAGAAUAACCAGCUGCCGUAUUGUGAGCUGCAUUAUGAAGAGAACCAUGUGGCAAGACACUGAGGGAGAUCUCCAGCCAACAACAACUCAUAAGCAACUAAAUCUUGUGAUGAACCACUGGAGUCAUCUGGAAAGAGGAUCCUCUCACCUUCAAUCUUUGAAAUGGCUAGAGCUCUGAUGACAGUUGGAUUACAGCCUUAGGAGAAACAGAGAGCCGGGGAAAUUUGUGCCCAGGUUCCUUUCCCACAGACAUUGUCAGAUAAUAAAUAUCUCUGCG